GACGAACGCUGGCGGCGUGCUUAACACAUGCAAGUCGAGCGGUAAGGCCCUUUCGGGGGUACGACGAGCGGCGAACGGGUGAGUAACACGUGGGUGACCUGCCCUCAGCUCUGGGAUAAGCCUGGGAAACCGGGUCUAAUACCGGAUAUGACUCCAUGACGCAUGUUGUGGGGUGGAAAGCCUUGUGCGGCUGAGGAUGGGCCCGCGGCCUAUCAGCUUGUUGGUGGGGUGAUGGCCUACCAAGGCGACGACGGGUAGCCGGCCUGAGAGGGCGACCGGCCACACUGGGGACUGAGACACGGCCCAGACUCCUACGGGAGGCAGCAGGUGGGGAAUCUUGCGCAAUGGGGCGAAAGCCUGACGCAGCGACGCCGCGUGAGGGAUGACGGCCUGUGUAACUCUUC
This 404-nucleotide ribosomal RNA is filed under the name uncultured bacterium. RNAcentral describes it as "bacterial SSU rRNA". It matches the Rfam family "Bacterial small subunit ribosomal RNA", at positions 28 to 436 of the family's 1533-position model. The record is from RNAcentral.